GAGUAACCUGCCCCUGACUCUGGGAUAAGCCCGGGAAACUGGGUCUAAUACCGGAUAUGACCGCCUCCGGCAUCGGAUGGUGGUGGAAAGUUUUUCGUUUGGGGAUGGGCUCGCGGCCUAUCAGCUUGUUGGUGGGGUAGUGGCCUACCAAGGCGACGACGGGUAGCCGGCCUGAGAGGGCGACCGGCCACACUGGGACUGAGACACGGCCCAGACUCCUACGGGAGGCAGCAGUGGGGAAUAUUGCGCAAUGGGCGAAAGCCUGACGCAGCGACGCCGCGUGGGGGAUGACGGCCUUCGGGUUGUAAACCUCUUUCAGCAGGGACGAAGUUGACGUGUACCUGCAGAAGAAGCGCCGGCUAACUACGUGCCAGCAGCCGCGGUAAUACGUAGGGCGCAAGCGUUGUCCGGAAUUAUUGGGCGUAAAGAGCUCGUAGGUGGCUGGUCGCGUCUGCCGUGAAAGCCCGCAGCUUAACUGCGGGUCUGCGGUGGAUACGGGCCGGCUAGAGGUAGGUAGGGGCAAGUGGAAUUCCUGGUGUAGCGGUGAAAUGCGCAGAUAUCAGGAGGAACACCGGUGGCGAAGGCGGCUUGCUGGGCCUUACCUGACGCUGAGGAGCGAAAGCGUGGGGAGCGAACAGGAUUAGAUACCCUGGUAGUCCACGCUGUAAACGUUGGGCGCUAGGUGUGGGGAUCUUCCACGAUCUCCGUGCCGGAGCUAACGCAUUAAGCGC
This 731-nucleotide ribosomal RNA is filed under the name Nonomuraea sp. Its description in RNAcentral is "bacterial SSU rRNA". It matches the Rfam family "Bacterial small subunit ribosomal RNA", at positions 119 to 867 of the family's 1533-position model. Lineage: Bacteria; Bacillati; Actinomycetota; Actinomycetes; Streptosporangiales; Streptosporangiaceae. The record is from RNAcentral.